This 1524-nucleotide long non-coding RNA is filed under the name Macaca fascicularis (crab-eating macaque). RNAcentral's name for it is "lncRNA (ENSMFAG00000056298.1)". The record is from RNAcentral. Lineage: Eukaryota; Metazoa; Chordata; Mammalia; Primates; Cercopithecidae.
AUGCAAACACAGACACAAGCAUACACAUUUGCACGAACACACACAGGUACUCGCACUCACAGAUGCACACUGCACACACAUACACACAUUCACACACACACUGCACACACAUAUACACACAUUCACACACACUGCACAUAUACACACAUUCACACACACUGCACACACAUAUCACACAUUCACACACACACUGCACACACAUAUACAUUCACACACACUGCACACACAUUCACACAUACUGCACACAUAUACACACAUUCACACACUGCACACAUAUACACACAUUCACACAUACUGCACACAUAUACACACAUUCACACAUAUACACACAUUCACACACUGCACACAUAUACACACAUUCACACACUGCACACAUAUAUACACACAUACACCCGUUCACACACACACUGCACAUGCAGUACCUGUGUGCACACAUGUGCCUACUGUAUGCAUGGACAUACACAGGCACUCACACUCACAGAUGCACACUGCACACACACAUACAUUCACACACAUAUACAUACGUUGCACACAUAUACACACAUACACAUUCACACACACUGCACAUUCAGACACUGCACACACAUUCACACACUACACAUACAUACACUCACACACUGCACACAUUCACACACACUGCACACAUAUUCACACACAUUCACACACUUACACACAUUCACACAUGCUGCACACACAUGCACACAUUCACACACACUGCACACACAUACACAUUCACGCACAGACUGCACACACAUACAUUCACGCACACACUGCACACACAUAAACACACAUUCACACACUGCACACACAUAUACACACAUUCACACACCGCACACAUUUAUACACACAUUCACACACAUUGCACACACAUACAUUCACACACAUUGCACACACAUAAACACACACUGCACACAGAUACAUUCACACACAUUGCACACACAUUCACACUGCACACACACAUUCACACACUGCACACAUACACAUUCACACACUGCACACAAUACACACAUUCACACACACUGCAUGCAUAUACACACAUUCACAACUGCACACACGUAUACACACAUUCACACACUGCAUAUAUGGUACCUGUGCACACACCUGCCUGCUGUAUGUAUGCAUUUACACACUUGCAUGCACUGCAUGUUUGCACACAUAUUCACAUGUGCACACUGCAUGUGUGGGUGUACAUGCAGACACACAGCUGUACCUAUUGCACAUGUGCAUAUGUACACAUAUGAGUGCACACAUUGUGCACACAUGUACACACCCACAUUCAUCCACACUGCACAUACGCAUGCACACACAUGCACACACACGCACACACAGCCAUCUUCUCCCUACCGCAUCCCACAGGAGGGGCUUCCUCAGCCCAUGCUGCCUGGUUUGGGGCGGGCCCACCAGCAUCUGCUCAGCUUGCUCUGGAGGACUUGGCCCCGCUGUUGUUUGUGUAUUUUCCAUCGCUCUGCCAGAGCCUCUGGGAUUUUCCAUCGCUCUGUCACAGAGCCUCUGGGGGCCAGGUGA